This is a long non-coding RNA of Mya arenaria, 315 nucleotides long. RefSeq lists it as uncharacterized. The transcript has 3 exons. The record is from RefSeq and is a predicted model, not a curated record. NCBI's taxonomy places the organism in Eukaryota, Metazoa, Mollusca, Bivalvia, Myida, Myidae.
GACGUUUUCAGCGUUCGGAUAUGAAGCUGAAAACAGGUACAGCAGUCUGAUUGAAGAGGGGAAGCAUACGAAAUGGUACUACUUCAGGAGAUUUAAGAUGAAACUUUACAAGCAGGACAUAACCAGAGAUAUGGACAUUGAAGAUGAAACUGGAAAGAAAUUAAAUGCCAAAUUUGUGUUUAUGGCUUCAAUAAGAUUUCUUAAAGACGAUCUUUUGAAAGCCAUUGAAGACCGGAUCAAGGGAGGCAUCAAAUCAAAGGAAAUCAGUUGGGUUUUGACAGUUCCCGCGAUUUGGGAUGAUGGUGCCAAACAGUU